AUUGAACGCUGGCGGCAUGCCUUACACAUGCAAGUCGAACGGCAGCACGGGAGCAAUCCUGGUGGCGAGUGGCGAACGGGUGAGUAAUAUAUCGGAACGUGCCCAGUGAUGGGGGAUAGCCCGGCGAAAGCCGGAUUAAUACCGCAUACGACCUACGGGUGAAAGCAGGGGAUCGCAAGACCUUGCGUCAUUGGAGCGGCCGAUAUCAGAUUAGCUUGNGGUGGGGUAAAGCCUACCAAGGCGACGAUCUGUAGCUGGUCUGAGAGGACGACCAGCCACACUGGGACUGAGACACGGCCCAGACUCCUACGGGAGGCAGCAGUGGGGAAUUCUGGACAAUGGGCGCAAGCCUGAUCCAGCCAUGCCGCGUGCGGGAAGAAGGCC
Molecule: ribosomal RNA, 384 nt
Filed under: uncultured bacterium
Lineage: Bacteria
Description: bacterial SSU rRNA
Rfam family: Bacterial small subunit ribosomal RNA
Source: RNAcentral